AACGAACGCUGGCGGCAUGCCUAACACAUGCAAGUCGAACGAGACCUUCGGGUCUAGUGGCGCACGGGUGCGUAACGCGUGGGAACCUGCCCUUAGGUUCGGAAUAACUCCCCGAAAGGGGUGCUAAUACCGGAUAAUGUCUUCGGACCAAAGAUUUAUCGCCUUUGGAUGGGCCCGCGUUGGAUUAGCUAGUUGGUAGGGUAAAAGCCUACCAAGGCGACGAUCCAUAGCUGGUCUGAGAGGAUGAUCAGCCACCCUGGGACUGAGACACGGCCCAGACUCCUACGGGAGGCAGCAGUGGGGAAUAUUGGACAAUGGGCGAAAGCCUGAUCCAGCAAUGCCGCGUGAGUGAUAAAGGCCUUAGGGUUGUAAAGCUCUUUUACCCGGGAUGAUAAUGACAGUACCGGGAGAAUAAGCUCCGGCUAACUCCGUG
RNAcentral lists this ribosomal RNA (433 nucleotides) under uncultured bacterium. RNAcentral's name for it is "partial 16S ribosomal RNA". It matches the Rfam family "Bacterial small subunit ribosomal RNA", at positions 29 to 507 of the family's 1533-position model. The record is from RNAcentral.